Molecule: ribosomal RNA, 157 nt
Filed under: Xylobolus frustulatus
Lineage: Eukaryota; Fungi; Basidiomycota; Agaricomycetes; Russulales; Stereaceae
Description: 5.8S ribosomal RNA
Rfam family: 5.8S ribosomal RNA
About the family: 5.8S ribosomal RNA (5.8S rRNA) is a component of the large subunit of the eukaryotic ribosome.
Source: RNAcentral
AACUUUCAACAACGGAUCUCUUGGCUCUCGCAUCGAUGAAGAACGCAGCGAAAUGCGAUAAGUAAUGUGAAUUGCAGAAUUCAGUGAAUCAUCGAAUCUUUGAACGCACCUUGCGCCCUUUGGUAUUCCGAAGGGCACACCUGUUUGAGUGUCGUGA